This 368-nucleotide ribosomal RNA is filed under the name uncultured organism. RNAcentral describes it as "bacterial SSU rRNA". It matches the Rfam family "Bacterial small subunit ribosomal RNA", at positions 526 to 896 of the family's 1533-position model. The record is from RNAcentral.
CGGAGGGUGCAAGCGUUAUCCGGAUUCACUGGGUUUAAAGGGUGCGUAGGAGGGCAGGUAAGUCAGUGGUGAAAUCCCCGAGCUUAACUUGGGAACUGCCGUUGAUACUAUCUGUCUUGAAUAUUGUGGAGGUGAGCGGAAUAUGUCAUGUAGCGGUGAAAUGCUUAGAUAUGACAUAGAACACCAAUUGCGAAGGCAGCUCGCUACACAUAUAUUGACUCUGAGGCACGAAAGCGUGGGGAUCAAACAGGAUUAGAUACCCUGGUAGUCCACGCCCUAAACGAUGGAUACUCGACAUACGCGAUACACAGUGUGUGUCUGAGCGAAAGCAUUAAGUAUCCCACCUGGGAAGUACGACCGCAAGGUUG